AGAGGAACCUCCCAGGUCACAGCUUCGACCUGGGAGAUCCCCUGUGGUCUCACCCCAGCUCCGGUUCCGACAAAGGCCUUCUCUUUGCUUUCCAGAAAUUUGCUUUCCAGAAAUGUUUCUCCUUGGAGAUACGCAAGUCAGGGAACAGGUUCCAAUCCAAGGCCACGGGCUUGGCCACAGAUGGAAUGAGGCACAUCGACUCCACACCUGACGUGUUUCUCCAUGCACAGCAGGGACCUGGUGUUUGUGUCUCUGUAAGAAACAGCUGGAGAGCCACAGCACAAGUUGGCCCUUUUCGUAGUAACGACGGCCCUUCUUUGUGGGUGUUCCCCGCGGGCCUUGGGAAACCGUUAUACCCAGAGAACCUCACCUGAGAGUUCCCCCUGCUGCUGGCUUUGUGUUCCUCCAAAGCACCUGGUCUGGGGCUCUGCCCAGAAUGGGCGGCCUCGUCUACACUGCUGAUCCUGCCCCUGGAAACAGGCUUCACCAAGGGGCCCUGUGCCGUCAGUCCACAGACUUCAUGGAGAUUGCGGGAUCCUUCCGCAGCUGAGCCCUUCCAGAAUGAGAAGUCCUUUAGGCUCUCUGCCCAGCUCUGAUCUGCAUCCUGCCUCCUUGAUUUCUCAACUCCAUGCAGCUCAGGUCCCACUCUGGCUUCCUGGCAUCACGCUCACCCUUGCCGGGGUGGGGGGAAGGAGAGGUAAGAGGGGAAGCUUAGUGUCUGGGUUUUUAAUCUGUCUGGGAGGGAAAUCAGUGUUUUUAGUGGACAACUUAAAUGUUUACUUUGACAAAACGUAGAGACCCAGGGGGUUCCCGUCGUGGCACAGUGAUUAAUGAAUCCGACUAGGAACCAUGAGGUUGUGGGUUCAAUUCCUGGCCUUGCUCAGG
Molecule: long non-coding RNA, 885 nt
Organism: Phacochoerus africanus (Common warthog)
Lineage: Eukaryota; Metazoa; Chordata; Mammalia; Artiodactyla; Suidae
Exons: 4
Source: RefSeq, a predicted model, not a curated record